This 556-nucleotide ribosomal RNA is filed under the name uncultured bacterium. RNAcentral's name for it is "partial 16S ribosomal RNA". It matches the Rfam family "Bacterial small subunit ribosomal RNA", at positions 355 to 902 of the family's 1533-position model. The record is from RNAcentral.
UGGGGAAUUUUGGACAAUGGGCGCAAGCCUGAUCCAGCCAUGCCGCGUGCGGGAAGAAGGCCUUCGGGUUGUAAACCGCUUUUGUCAGGGAAGAAAUCUUCUGAGUUAAUACCUCGGGAAGAUGACGGUACCUGAAGAAUAAGCACCGGCUAACUACGUGCCAGCAGCCGCGGUAAUACGUAGGGUGCAAGCGUUAAUCGGAAUUACUGGGCGUAAAGCGUGCGCAGGCGGUUUUGUAAGACAGAGGUGAAAUCCCCGGGCUCAACCUGGGAACUGCCUUUGUGACUGCAAGGCUUGAGUGCGGCAGAGGGGGAUGGAAUUCCGCGUGUAGCAGUGAAAUGCGUAGAUAUGCGGAGGAACACCGAUGGCGAAGGCAAUCCCCUGGGCCUGCACUGACGCUCAUGCACGAAAGCGUGGGGAGCAAACAGGAUUAGAUACCCUGGUAGUCCACGCCCUAAAACGAUGUCAACUGGUUGUUGGGAAGGUUCCUUCUCAGUAACGUAGCUAACGCGUGAAGUUGACCGCCUGGGGAGUACGGCCGCAAGGUUGAAAACUC